This 233-nucleotide unclassified non-coding RNA is filed under the name plant metagenome. RNAcentral describes it as "partial contains small subunit ribosomal RNA, internal transcribed spacer 1, and 5.8S ribosomal RNA". The record is from RNAcentral.
UCUCCGUUGGUGAACCAGCGGAGGGAUCAUUACCGAGUUUUUCUACUCCAAAACCCCUGUGAACUUAUACCUUUACUGUUGCUUCGGCGGGUUAACGCCCCGGAAGGCCCACAAAGCCGCCGAAACCAGCCGCCGGCCGGGGAACCCAAACUCUUGUAGUUCUUACUUUGCAUGUCUGGGUGGACGCAUAAACAAAUAAAUCAAAACUUUCAACAACGGAUCUCUUGGUUCUG